Molecule: ribosomal RNA, 505 nt
Filed under: uncultured bacterium
Lineage: Bacteria
Description: bacterial SSU rRNA
Rfam family: Bacterial small subunit ribosomal RNA
Source: RNAcentral
AUUGAACGCUGGCGGCAUGCCUUACACAUGCAAGUCGAACGGCAGCACGGGAGCAAUCCUGGUGGCGAGUGGCGAACGGGUGAGUAAUGCAUCGGAACGUACCCGGAAGUGGGGGAUAACGUAGCGAAAGUUACGCUAAUACCGCAUAUUCUGUGAGCAGGAAAGCGGGGGAUCGCAAGACCUCGCGCUUCCGGAGCGGCCGAUGUCGGAUUAGCUAGUUGGCGGGGUAAAGGCCCACCAAGGCUACGAUCGUUAGGGGGCCUGAGAGGGUUAUCCCCCACACUGGUACUGAGACACGGACCAGACUCCUACGGGAGGCAGCAGUGAGGAAUAUUGCGCAAUGGAGGCAACUCUGACGCAGCCAUGCCGCGUGCAGGAAGAAGGCGCUACGCGUUGUAAACUGCUUUUACCCGGGAAGAAACCCCUCUACGUGUGGAGGGUUGACGGUACCGGAGGAAUAAGCACCGGCUAACUUCGUGCCAGCAGCCGCGGUAAAGUACAGUGU